GGAGAGGUGGCCGAGUGGCUGAAGGCAACGGUUUGCUAAACCGUCUUAGGGGUUUUAACCUCUAACGAGGGUUCGAAUCCCUCCCUCUCCG
Molecule: transfer RNA, 91 nt
Filed under: Ignavibacteria bacterium
Lineage: Bacteria; Pseudomonadati; Ignavibacteriota; Ignavibacteria
Also listed under: 3 other names
Description: tRNA-Ser
Rfam family: tRNA
About the family: Transfer RNA (tRNA) molecules are approximately 80 nucleotides in length. Their secondary structure includes four short double-helical elements and three loops (D, anti-codon, and T loops).
Source: RNAcentral